Molecule: ribosomal RNA, 567 nt
Filed under: uncultured fungus
Lineage: Eukaryota; Fungi
Description: eukaryotic LSU rRNA
Rfam family: Eukaryotic large subunit ribosomal RNA
Source: RNAcentral
AAAGCAACAGCGAUAGCCUCAGUAACGGCGAGUGAAGCGGCUACAGCUCAAAUUUGAAAUCUGGCCUCCUUUGGGGGUCCGAGUUGUAAUUUGCAGAGGAUGCUUUGGCAUUGGCGGCGGUCUAAGUUCCUUGGAACAGGACAUCGCAGAGGGUGAGAAUCCCGUACGUGGUCGCUGGCUAUUGCCGUGUAAAGCCCCUUCGACGAGUCGAGUUGUUUGGGAAUGCAGCUCUAAAUGGGAGGUAAAUUUCUUCUAAAGCUAAAUAUUGGCCAGAGACCGAUAGCGCACAAGUAGAGUGAUCGAAAGAUGAAAAGCACUUUGGAAAGAGAGUUAAAAAGCACGUGAAAUUGUUAAAAGGGAAGGGAUUGCAACCAGACUUGCUCGCGGUGUUCCGCCGGUCUUCUGACCGGUCUACUCGCCGCGUUGCAGGCCAGCAUCGUCUGGUGCCGCUGGAUAAGACUUGAGGAAUGUAGCUCCCUCGGGAGUGUUAUAGCCUCUUGUGAUGCAGCGAGCGCCGGGCGAGGUCCGCGCUUCGGCUAGGAUGCUGGCGUAAUGGUCGUAAUCCGC